Long non-coding RNA from Aegilops tauschii subsp. strangulata, 1017 nucleotides. RefSeq lists it as uncharacterized. Lineage: Eukaryota; Viridiplantae; Streptophyta; Magnoliopsida; Poales; Poaceae. The record is from RefSeq and is a predicted model, not a curated record.
UGUCUCCCUUAUCCCGCAGGAAGCGCUCCACACCAUUCGUUCCUUUUCCUUAUCCCCUCGUUCAUCUCCUUCCCAUGUGGCUCUCCCAAAUAAAUUCUCGCUGGUGAUGACCGCCGUCGUCCACCAGCCCGCGAUGCUCCGGUGAGUGGCCACCAUCCACCCGCCCCGCGCUGCUCCGGCGGGCAUCCGCCCAUCCACCACCGCAGCCGUGCGGCAACCCAAGCUUGCGGCGCGGAGUGGGGUGCUUCAACCGGCGGCGACCAUGCUACAACGGCGGCGAGCGGGAGUGGCAGCCGGUCGCGACUGAGGAUGACCGUAGGCUGCCACCGGGUGCUGCAACCGACAAGCAAUUUUGCUGGAACAACGGCAACAAGUGUGGCAGAUCCGAUGAACAAGGGAAGGCCAUGGAGUUGAUUUGCUGGGGCGGUGGACGGCGGUGGUGGCGGAGCUGCAACGACGGUUGGUGGUGGGGAUGCGAUUGUGUGCCCCCGUGCUGCAACCACGGGGCGGUUGGGAGUUCCAACGAUGACCUCGGGCAUGACGGUGGUGACCUCGCGCGCGACGACGACGACUUGUUUGCGGCGCGCUGGCACGAGCCACCGACGGCAAGCGCAGGUCACGGGGCGGCCGACGAGCGCAUUGUUGUGCGGCCGUGUGGGAGGCCGGGAGUGCGGAUGAAGACGACCAGAUGCGCUGGGUCGCGUUGGGCUCUAUCCUCUUUUUUUCUGCGAGAUGAACGCAAGAUCAUACGGUCUGAAAGCGAUGUAUCGUGUGGUAGGGCAGCGACCUUGGCCGGUGCGCCGGCGCCUAUCACUCGCCAGGCCACUGGACAAAUUUGAAAUAGCUUAACUAGUCAGAUGUGUCGCAAAUUAUAAGAUGGAUGGAUGGCACCAAUAGACCACGAUUGCUAGGCCAGUUAAUUAAUAAUACCCUGUCCGGCAAAUAGAGAUAUAGCUAUAUAUCCCAAAUUAAUAUAUCCUGGCAGAACAGAGAGAGCUAACCAUGUACAUAUAUAUA